Molecule: ribosomal RNA, 1373 nt
Filed under: Nocardia sp. PB-47
Lineage: Bacteria; Bacillati; Actinomycetota; Actinomycetes; Mycobacteriales; Nocardiaceae
Description: bacterial SSU rRNA
Rfam family: Bacterial small subunit ribosomal RNA
Source: RNAcentral
UGCAGUCGAGCGGUAAGGCCCUUCGGGGUACACGAGCGGCGAACGGGUGAGUAACACGUGGGUGAUCUGCCUUGCACUCUGGGAUAAGCCUGGGAAACUGGGUCUAAUACCGGAUAUGAGCCUGGACUGCAUGGUCCGGGUUGGAAAGGUUUACUGGUGCGAGAUGGGCCCGCGGCCUAUCAGCUUGUUGGUGAGGUAACGGCUCACCAAGGCGACGACGGGUAGCCGACCUGAGAGGGUGACCGGCCACACUGGGACUGAGACACGGCCCAGACUCCUACGGGAGGCAGCAGUGGGGAAUAUUGCACAAUGGGCGCAAGCCUGAUGCAGCGACGCCGCGUGAGGGAUGACGGCCUUCGGGUUGUAAACCUCUUUUGACAGGGACGAAGCGCAAGUGACGGUACCUGUAGAAGAAGCACCGGCCAACUACGUGCCAGCAGCCGCGGUAAUACGUAGGGUGCGAGCGUUGUCCGGAAUUACUGGGCGUAAAGAGCUUGUAGGCGGUCUGUCGCGUCGAUUGUGAAAACUUGCAGCUCAACUGCAAGCUUGCAGUCGAUACGGGCAGACUAGAGUACUGCAGGGGAGACUGGAAUUCCUGGUGUAGCGGUGAAAUGCGCAGAUAUCAGGAGGAACACCGGUGGCGAAGGCGGGUCUCUGGGCAGUAACUGACGCUGAGAAGCGAAAGCGUGGGUAGCGAAACAGGAUUAGAUACCCUGGUAGUCCACGCCCGUAAACGGUGGGUACUAGGUGUGGGUUUCCUUUCCACGGGAUCCGUGCCGAGCUAACGCAUUAAGUACCCCGCCCUGGGAGUACGGCCGCAAGGCUAAAACUCAAAGGAAUUGACGGGGGCCCGCACAAGCGGCGGAGCAUGUGGAUUAAUUCGAUGCAACGCGAAGAACCUUACCUGGGUUUGACAUACACCGGAAAGCCAUAGAGAUAUGGCCCCCCUUGUGGUCGGUGUACAGGUGGUGCAUGGCUGUCGUCAGCUCGUGUCGUGAGAUGUUGGGUUAAGUCCCGCAACGAGCGCAACCCUUAUCUUAUGUUGCCAGCGCGUAAUGGCGGGGACUCGUGAGAGACUGCCGGGGUCAACUCGGAGGAAGGUGGGGACGACGUCAAGUCAUCAUGCCCCUUAUGUCCAGGGCUUCACACAUGCUACAAUGGCCGGUACAGAGGGCUGCGAUACCGUGAGGUGGAGCGAAUCCCUUAAAGCCGGUCUCAGUUCGGAUCGGGGUCUGCAACUCGACCCCGUGAAGUUGGAGUCGCUAGUAAUCGCAGAUCAGCAACGCUGCGGUGAAUACGUUCCCGGGCCUUGUACACACCGCCCGUCACGUCAUGAAAGUCGGUAACACCCGAAGCCGGUGGCCUAACCCUUG